This 495-nucleotide ribosomal RNA is filed under the name uncultured bacterium. Its description in RNAcentral is "partial 16S ribosomal RNA". It matches the Rfam family "Bacterial small subunit ribosomal RNA", at positions 28 to 507 of the family's 1533-position model. The record is from RNAcentral.
GACGAACGCUGGCGGCGUGCCUAAUACAUGCAAGUAGAACGCUGAAGGAGGAGCUUGCUCUUCUGGAUGAGCUGCGAACGGGUGAGUAACGCGUAGGUAACCUGCCUGGUAGCGGGGGAUAACUAUUGGAAACGAUAGCUAAUACCGCAUAAGAGUAGAUGUUGCAUGACAUUUACUUAAAAGGUGCAAUUGCAUCACUACCAGAUGGACCUGCGUUGUAUUAGCUAGUUGGUGGGGUAACGGCUUACCAAGGCGACGAUACAUAGCCGACCUGAGAGGGUGACCGGCCACACUGGGACUGAGACACGGCCCAGACUCCUACGGGAGGCAGCAGUAGGGAAUCUUCGGCAAUGGACGGAAGUCUGACCGAGCAACGCCGCGUGAGUGAAGAAGGUUUUCGGAUCGUAAAGCUCUGUUGUAAGAGAAGAACGAGUGUGAGAGUGGAAAGUUCACACUGUGACGGUAUCUUACCAGAAAGGGACGGCUAACUACGUG